CACCGGCGGCUCGAGUGGUGGCCACUUUUAUUGGGUCUAAAGCGUCCGGAGCCGGCUUGGCAAGUCCCCUGGGAAAUCUGGCGGCUUAACCGUCAGGCGUCCAGAGGAUACUGCCAGGCUUGGGACCGGGAGAGGUGAGAGGUACCUCAGGGGUAGGGGUGAAAUCUUGUGAUCCCUGAGGGACCACCAGUGGCGAAGGCGUCUCACUAGAACGGGUCCGACGGUCAGGGACGAAAGCUGGGGGCACGAACCGG
This 254-nucleotide ribosomal RNA is filed under the name uncultured microorganism. Its description in RNAcentral is "partial 16S ribosomal RNA". It matches the Rfam family "Archaeal small subunit ribosomal RNA", at positions 474 to 727 of the family's 1478-position model. The record is from RNAcentral.